Molecule: transfer RNA, 70 nt
Filed under: Spinacia oleracea (spinach)
Lineage: Eukaryota; Viridiplantae; Streptophyta; Magnoliopsida; Caryophyllales; Amaranthaceae
Rfam family: tRNA
About the family: Transfer RNA (tRNA) molecules are approximately 80 nucleotides in length. Their secondary structure includes four short double-helical elements and three loops (D, anti-codon, and T loops). Further hydrogen bonds mediate the characteristic L-shaped molecular structure. tRNAs have two regions of fundamental functional importance: the anti-codon, which is responsible for specific mRNA codon recognition, and the 3' end, to which the tRNAs corresponding amino acid is attached (by aminoacyl-tRNA synthetases). tRNAs cope with the degeneracy of the genetic code in two manners: having more than one tRNA (with a specific anti-codon) for a particular amino acid; and 'wobble' base-pairing, i.e. permitting non-standard base-pairing at the 3rd anti-codon position.
Source: Rfam by way of RNAcentral
AGCCUAUUAGCUCAAUUGGUAGAGCUUUGUGCAUUCCACAAUUAUGUAGGUUCGAAUCUUACAUAGGCAA